This 414-nucleotide ribosomal RNA is filed under the name Triticum aestivum (bread wheat). RNAcentral's name for it is "partial small subunit ribosomal RNA". Lineage: Eukaryota; Viridiplantae; Streptophyta; Magnoliopsida; Poales; Poaceae. The record is from RNAcentral.
AUGGCGGAGGAGAAGCACCACCACCACCUGUUCCACCACAAGGAGGGCGAGGACUUCCAGCCCGCCGCUGACGGCGGCGUCGACACGUACGGGUACUCGACCGAGACGGUGGUGACCGCCACCGGCAACGAGGGGGAGUACGAGCGGAUCACCAAGGAGGAGAAGCACCACAAGCACAAGGAGCACCUCGGCGAGAUGGGCGCCGCCGCCGCCGGAGCCUUCGCCCUCUACGAGAAGCACGAGGCGAAGAAGGACCCGGAGCACGCGCACAAGCACAAGAUCGAGGAGGAGGUGGCCGCCGCUGCAGCCGUCGGCGCCGGCGGCUUCGUCUUCCACGAGCACCACGAGAAGAAGCAGGACCACAAGGAGGCCAAGGAGGCCAGCGGCGAGAAGAAGCACCACCACUUCGGCUAG